This is a long non-coding RNA of Gopherus flavomarginatus (Mexican gopher tortoise), 2609 nucleotides long. RefSeq lists it as uncharacterized. NCBI's taxonomy places the organism in Eukaryota, Metazoa, Chordata, Testudines, Testudinidae. The record is from RefSeq and is a predicted model, not a curated record. The transcript is spliced from 3 exons.
UUUUACUGUCUUCUGCUCCUUCUAAUCCUCCUCUCUUGUUGCUGGUCCUCCACUGAAUAGGGAAUGCACCUUCUGCUGGGCUGGGGCAUUACAAGAUGGCUAAAAGAGCUGAAACUAAAAAAUACCUUAAAAACAGGAAACACUGCCUGAUCCCCUGCAGCCAGAAAACUGCCUUUUCUGUGCUCAAGACUCCAGAGCUGGAGAUAGUAUCUUGCUUAGAGAGAAGCAAAGAGUACGUAAGUCCCGCUACCUGCACAAACCAGACCAAGUUACUGAGUGGGCCAGAGAGACAUCAGCGUUGCCCCAGACUCAGACUGCUAUUCACCCUUGUAGAAAUGAACAAUCUCACUGGCUUUUUGCUUCUGUUCAUUAGGAGCUAGUGAGGUGAGAGGCAAAGGAGAAGUGUAGCAGAGGGUGCAUGCAGUAUUGAACUACCCCAUUUUGGCUCCGUGUUCUCAGAAGGAUCAGUCUCACUGAAGGCUCCAAUGUUAACCAGAAACUAACAACUUAUUAGUAUCCUGUUGGUGCAAGCUGUUCUUCAGAUCAAUGAUAGCAAUGGAAAAAAAGCAUCAUGAAGCUUGCUGGAAAGAUCUUUGCUGUGACGUGGGUUAGUCUGCCCUCGGGUGUACAUGCCUCCUCCAAGGGCAUGGUUACACUUGCAGAUGUAGAGCAUUGUGAGUUAAACCAGCCCUUGGAGACCACAAUGUAUUCACACAGUCAGCUGCAAGCACACUAGCAUGGCCACAUUUGGGCUUGGGAAACAAGCACUGAGUGGUGGAAUCACGUCAUGCAAGUCUGGGAUGACGAGAAGUGGCUGCAGAACUUUCGGAUGAGAAAAGCCAUUUUCAUGGGAUUGUGUGCUGAGCUCGCCCCCAUUCUGCGGCACAAGGACACGAGAUUGAGAGCAGCCCUGCCGGUGGAGAAGUGGGUGGCUUUUGCAGUCUGGAAGCUUGCAACUCCAGACAGCUACUGAUCCGUCGCUAACCAGUUUGGAGUGGGAAAGUCAACGGCUGGAAUUGUGUUGAUGCAAGUUUGCAGGGCCAUUAAUCGCAUCCUGCUUAGAAGAACUGUGACUCUGGGUGACGUGCAUGACAUUGUGACUGGCUUUGAACAAAUGGGUUUCCCUAACUGCGGGGGGCGAUAGCUGGGACGCAUAUUCCAAUUCUGGCACCAGCCCACCUAGCCUCCGAGUAUGUAAAUUGGAAGGGGUAUUUCUCGAUGGUUCUCCAGGCGCUUGUGGGUCAUCGUGGGCGUUUCAUUGACAUUAACUCAGUCUGGUCCAGAAAAGUAUAUGAUGCACACAUCUUUCGGAACACAGGCCUAUUCAGGAAGCUGCAGGCCGUGACUUUCUUCCAAGACCAGAAGAUCACCGUUAGGGAAGUCAAAAUGACCAUUGUGAUCCUUGGAGACCCUGCUUACCCUUUAGUGCCAUGGCACAUGAAACCCUACACAGGGAGCCAUGACAGCAGCAAGGAGUGGUUCAACAACAGGCCAAGUUGGUGCAGAAUGACUGUGGAAUGUGCUUUUGGCCAUUUAAAGGGCCACUGGUGCUAUCUGUAUGGGAAGCUGGACCUGGCCGAUGACAACAUCCCAAUGGUUAUAUCCGCAUGCUGUACCCUCCAUAACUUUUGUGAAGGGAGGGGUGAAAGAUUCACUCAGGCAUGGACCUCCAAGGUUCAACAUCUCGAGGCUGAAUUUGAACAGCCAGAGAGCAGGGCUAUUAGAGGGGCCUAGCAUGGGGCUACAAAGAUAGGGAUGCCUUGAGAGAGCAAUUUGAGGCUGAAAGCCACCAGUAAUGUUUGGUGCCUUGCAUGAGGAGUGAAGUGCCAUGGUUCCAAUGUUAGUAGGAAUCUGUGUUUGCUACACUGACUUGCAGUGCCUGUUACUUUCCUGGGCUACGGUGUCUUUUACUUAAUGCAAUAAUAAAGAAUGUUUUCAUAGCCAAAAAAUUCAUUUAUUGACAAGAAAAUUCAUUUAUUGAAAAGAAACACAACUGCUUAGGAAACAGAAAGGGCAAGGGGAUGGGGUGGGGAACGGUACACUCGCAGAUUUGUGUAUGUCCUGUUAUCAUAUUCAGCCUUCCUGUCUGGAGUGCAGUGCAAUGAGUGCUGCACUUCAGGCUGGCUAAAAUGCAUGGUGAUGGGGGUUGAGUGCAGUGAGUGAGGGUUGUAAUUUGCAGGGCUGGGUGGUGAAGCUACAGGUGUUGGAGGCAGCUGGUGGCGAUAAGAACCUGGAUGUUGGGGAAAGUGGGUUGGCGGUGACAUGAGGGCACAAGGGAAAGAGUUUUGGGACAAAGGCUGGGGGUCCUUAUGCCCUGGUCCAUAUACAACUUGCCUGUGUGCAGCAAUGGUCCCCCUUCCUGUCAUGGCACAGUGGCAUAGACAUGUUAGCCUUACUGGAACAAGGAGCACAGUAGCUCUGCCAAGGAACCUGCGCAAGUGGAUUGCCCAGCUUCUGCAUGAGACCUUGGAAGAGAUCACUGAGGCCGAUUACCACAAUGUGAGAGAGCACAGCAACGUCCUAUUCCUCAUCUAGGCAGGCAUGCAGCCCUAACCCUCCUCACCCCAAGAGCCCACACCGAAUAACUUCUUUCCCAAAACAAAAGCUGC